GUGAUCUGCGGGGGGGUCAUUACACAAAUAUGAAGGCGGGCUGGAACCUCUCGGGGUUACAGCCUUGCGGAAUUAUUCACCCUUGUCUUUUGCGUACUUCUUGCUUCCUGGGCGGGCUCGCCCACCACUAGGACAAACAUAAACCUUUUGUAAUUGCAAUCAGCGUCAGUAACAAUGUAAUAAUUACAACUUUCAACAACGGAUCUCUUGGUCUGGCAUCGAUGAAGAACGCAGCGAAAUGCGAUAAGUAGUGUGAAUUGCAGAAUUCAGUGAAUCAUCGAAUCUUUGAACGCACAUUGCGCCCUUUGGUAUUCCAAAGGGCAUGCCUGUUCGAGCGUCAUUUGUACCCUCAAGCUUUGCUUGGUGUUGGGCGUCUUGUCUCUAGCUUUGCUGGAGACUCGCCUUAAAGUAUUGGCAGCCGGCCUACUGGUUUCGGAGCGCAGCACAAGUCGCACUCUCUAUCAGCAAAGGUCUAGCGUCCAUUAAGCCUUUUUUUCAACCUUUGACCUCGGAUCAGGUAGGGAUACCCGCUGAACUUAAGCAUAUCAAUAAGCCGGGGGAAAGAAACCAACAGGGAUUGCCCUAGUAACGGCGAGUGAAGCGGCAACAGCCAAAUUUGAAAUCUGGCUCUUUUAGAGUCCGAGUUGUAAUUUGCAG
RNAcentral lists this ribosomal RNA (657 nucleotides) under Alternaria sp. W13. RNAcentral describes it as "eukaryotic LSU rRNA". The stretch from base 188 to 340 matches the Rfam family "5.8S ribosomal RNA". Lineage: Eukaryota; Fungi; Ascomycota; Dothideomycetes; Pleosporales; Pleosporaceae. The record is from RNAcentral.